Molecule: long non-coding RNA, 4881 nt
Organism: Cavia porcellus (domestic guinea pig)
Lineage: Eukaryota; Metazoa; Chordata; Mammalia; Rodentia; Caviidae
Exons: 2
Source: RefSeq, a predicted model, not a curated record
GCCUACUGUUACGGUUUAUGUUUAAAUGUAUCCCCAAGCCUCAUAUAGUCAUGGAGAGGGGGCUUUUGGGGGUGGCUGAGUCUAGCAUUUGUGACUGGCUUGUUGUCCAGCGCUGGGAUUGGUGUGAGUGCUGAGCCUGCCCAGGGGCAGGGAGCCAGCAUGCAAUGUAACAGAGGGAAGGAGGCUUGCUUUUCCUUUUUGCCCUUGUCACUUGUGGUCUCCAUGAACUGUUGUCCUCUGCCAAGCCACCCUGACUUGGAUCCAGCUGAAUAUGGACUGAAACCUCCAAAAACUAUAAGUUAAAUAAACCUAUCCUUCCCUAAUUUUGAUGGUCAAGUAUUUUGUCCUAGCAAUGAGAGAAAAGUAACCAAGACACUCACCUAGAAUAAAGCAGAAGUUAAAGAAGUGUCCUUUAUUUUAACGGAGAGUUAGUCUAUCCCAGCCAAGGACAUUUGUCUGGAAAUCACGGGCGAGCAGGCCCCUGGCUCUGGGGGACAAUGAGGGCAUGGAGAAGGAUUUUCACGCCAAGUGGAAAGACGUUGCUCUGAACAAAGCUUCCCCAAAGAGAGGUUCUUUAGGGACCCUGCCCUUUCUCCCUGAGAAAGAUCUCCCGCUCAAUAAAGUGAGAGAACUUUCAGACACAGAAAGUAGAAGAAAGUUGCUCAAUAAAUGUAUAAUAAUAAUCUAAUUCUGAAUUAUUACGCUGUACACACACAGAUGAACAAUUAGAAGACGACUAAUUAGAAGAAAGUUGAAUACCAGAUAAUCACUCAUAAAGGAGAAUAAACAUCAGCAUUUCUCUUUAGUCCAAAACAUGGUUUCUGAUCUUAGUCUCAGUGUUCAUUGACUGAGAAGGCCCAGUGAAGCCUCAUGCAAGGGCACCGCACCACUACACAGAAGCCAGAAAUGAAACGAGUUUGGGGCAGUGUUAUGGCCAUGACGUCCGGGCUCAUGAAGAUAGAAUUCUAUGAGUGAGAAAGAUGAGGAAGACAGGGAGAAAAUUUUUUUUUUGUCUUUUUCCUUUUUAUCGGUACCGGAGAUCAAACUUAUGACUGCCUGCUUGCAAGGCAGGCGCUUAUGCCACUGAGCUAAAUCCCCAGCCCCAGAAAAUUAUUUUAUAGGAUUUGUGAGCUUCUCUUCUCGUGUGUGAGCAGAUGGCUGUAAGGGGUACUUAGCCCCACAAUUCGCCCCACUGGAGGAAGUUAAUUAUUUGGCAGAAAAUCUUAAUACAUUCGUCAGGUGUAAUCAGGUUUGGGACACAGAAGUGUGAGAAAGGGACGUCAUUCAUUCAAUUGGCAAAUCUUUAUCAAGCACCUGACAUGGACAAGCCCCCUUCUGGAGGUGCCAGCGAGUAGAGCAAAGGGCCCAGGCCUGGUAGAGCUCAUACUUGGUAAUUCCUUGGUAUUCGGCGGAGUGGGAAGUAACGGGGAGUGAUAGGGUUAUAGUUAUUAGAAAUCUCAAAUAUAAGGGGGGAGGGUGGUGCACUCCUGCAAUCUUAGCACUCGGGAGGCUGAGGCAGAGGAAUCAUUGCAAGUUCAAGACCAGCCUGGGCUACAAAGUGAGCCCAAGGGCAGCCUGAACCACACAGUGAAACCUUGGUCUCCCCGCCUUCCCCCCACAAAAAAGAAAGAAAGCUGAAAUACAGAAUAAGGUUGAAAGGUGGGGAAAAUGAAAAUCACAUAAGUAAACCAGUGUCGCUUCGUUUGGGAGACACAGUUAAAGUACGACACUGAUAUAGUGUUCAAAUAAAUGAAGACUUGUGUCCGGGGAACUGUCUGAGAAUAGGACAGAAUGAACCAAGCCAAACAGAGGGAAGGAAAUCUAAACCCUAACAGAGGAGAGUGCCGCAGACCAGGAUGUCAGUGGAAGGGAAGACCCGGCAGGACUGGCUUUUCCAGAGAAACAGGAGUGCAGAGUAUCUCUCUUCCAAAUGCUCUGGAUUUUGGAUAUUUUCAUGUGUGCAUUGAGAUGGCUGGGGGAUGUGGACACAAAAGUCACUUGUUUCCUGGUAAGCUUACAUUGAAGCUAAAUUUUUAACAAAAUUUUUAAUGACUUCAUGCAUGCCAUAAAGUCUCCCAGAGUGCAGUUUUCCAUUUGUGACACCCCGUUGGCACUAAUAUCCUACUUUGGAGAAGUUUGGAUUUCCCAUUUUGGAUUAGGAAUCCUCAGUCUACACACACUGACAGACACACACACGACACACACACACAUGUGUUUGCAUGUGUGUUUUCUGUAACACAUGGGCUCGUGUGAUUGGGAGCCUGAGAAGCCCCAGGACCUGCAGCUGGCUGGCCUGGACCGAGGUGGCUGCAGGUGUAGUUCCAGCCUGUGGGCACAGGGCAGAGGACCAGGAGAGCUGAUGUGGGUCUAGUUUGAGCUAUAAAGCAGAAGACUAAUGACUCAGUUCAGACUGCCAGGCGGGGAGAGAAUUCUUUUAUUCUCAGCCUUUUGUUCUCUUUAGGCCUUCAGGGGCCAGGAGGAGCCUGCUGUGUCAGGGAGGGUCGCCUGCUCUCUCCCCGUGCACCGAAGCGUGUGUCAACUUCACCAAGAAGCCUGCCCAACACGCCCCGAGUGCUGUGUGACCAAAUAGCAGGCACCUCAUGGGCCAGUCCAGUUGACACACAGAAUUAACCAUCCACUGGAACUUGCAGCUAAGAGUUUGCCUUAAAUCUCAGAGGAGAAUUUCCACUUGGACUUUUCAAGAGGAAAAAUCCACUUGAAACUAAAAUUGCUAGGACUUUGGCAACUGUUAGAGAUAAACUGAAUGCAUCUUGCAUAAAAGGAUUCAUAUGAGUGUUUUGGGGGCCAGGGACAGAAUGUUAUAUCUAUCUAGGUGUCACCCUAUAAAGCCUCACAUACUGAUAAGUGAGGCUUUUGGGGGAUGGCUGGACAACGGGUGUGUGAUAUUGGAUUGUGGGUGUAGAAUAGCUAGUUUAUCAUAAUGGGAAGGCAUCACCUAAUAAGGCGUGUAGCCUGGGUGGGAAAAAAGGGAAGACAGAAGGAAAAUGCUUCCUUUUACCUGCCAUGCCAUAGACUGUUUCUCCUCUACCACUCUUCUCUGCCAUGCCACCCUACCUUGAAACCAGCUGCCUAUGGAUUAAAACCUUUACAACCAUGUGAGCUAAAAUAAACCUCUCCUUUCACUUGUGGGCAUUGGGUAUUUUGGCUCAGCAAUGAGAAAAUAACCAAGUCAGGACCUUUGGGUCUUUCAAACUCAUACGGAAUUCCUCUAUGGAUAUAUGCUGAAUUCUUGGGCUUUUUGGGUACUGAGGAAUGAAUCUAAAAAUUUCUAAAGGCAAAUGAAACCACCCACAGGCUAAUGUUUUAAAAAAACAAGAAAUCUCAGUGGAUAGAAUCUGAUUUCAAGCACAUGAAUAUUUUUCCCUUUAAAACCUUUGCCAGAUUUUAAGCUUUAUAGGACUAGAGGGCUGGAGAGCUGGUUUGAAAUCCUCUGAAGGACAGAGAUAGAUUUUCCACAAUUUUUCCAGAUUGAGGGAAUUUAUGUAUACCCACCAGGUUCUCCAUCAAAAGUGUAGGAGGGCUAAACCCAAAGGGUAAAGGGAAACCAAAGCUUUGUUGAUGCAUAGUAAAACAACCACCAAAUCUCAAUCCAGUUCAAUUUUUAAAAAAUUUUAUUUAAAGAAAACAGAAAACAAACAAAACAGAAAAUAGGUAGAAAUAAUACAUGUGUUCAGAGAAAAACAUAAACAGUAAGAAAUCAUUAGUUGAUGUUUACAUAUUGUCAUUUUACAAAUAGUUGUUCAAGAUACAAAAAUGGAACUUGUAAAGUGGGAAUUCAAACAGUGAGACUGCAAACAGUUCUGUUCAGCUGUCCAACAAAAACUUAGUAACAUGGUUGUCAAUCCUAUACACUUAAACAUACAUGCAGUUAUUCAUAUCUUCAUUUAUGUUUAGAUUAAACAAACUAAAGCAGGUUAAAAUCAUUCUGAACAAAGAAUAAUUGCUGGAUUUCACAUCAUGACACUCUGUGAUCAGCACUGGGUACUGUAGUAUCUUUUUAAAAAAAUUUAAUUAAAGAAAGACAAAACAAAACAGAAAAUGGGUAGAAAUAAUACAUAAUUUCAAAGAAAAAAAUAAACAGUAAGAAAUCACUAGUUGAUGAUUACAGAUUGUCUUCUUCCAAAUAGUUAUUCAAGAUACUAAAGUGAAGCUUAUAAAUUGGGGAUUCAAACAGUGAGACUGCAACCAUCUGUUCAACUAUCCAACAAAAACUUAGAACUUAGGUUAUCAAUCCUAUACACCUAAACAUACAUGUAGUUAUCCAUAUCUUCAAUUAUGUUGAGAUUGAAUAAACCCAAGCAGGCUAAUAUCACUCUGAACAAAGAAUAAUAUUAUUGCUGGGUGUCACAUUAUGAGACUCUAGGAUCAGCACUGGGUAUUUUAGUGUCUCUUUUUCUUCAAAGUAUCUGUUCAUUUCAUCAUGUGUCAUAUGAUCAGUUCUCAUAAACUGUUUAUAGAUUCUACACACCCAUGAGUCUUAACAUGUAUUGCUAUCUUUUCUAUAUUAGAGGGAGAAACAAAACAAAGCAAGGCAAAACAAAACAUAUUCCUAUAACCACAUGAAACGAAAUAAACAUAUAAGACCAUUGUACAAAGAGUUCUACCAUGGUUCCUGUGUUGUCUCUUGUUAUCGCCAAUAGAAUUGGUAAUAUCAUAAGACAUAGUAUAAUUGAAUAUGUCAGCUGUAUUAACUGUAUUAAUAAAAACACAACUUUGUAUAUAGUAUAGAACUUCAAAAACUGGCAGUUAUCAAACUAGAAUGUGUAUCAUAGAGUCUUGUCAUCUUCAGUGUAAUUGCCUAUACUCUCAGACUUGAUACUAUUAAUCAUAUCAGUUUUGAAUAAAAUCUUCUCUGCCUCA